Lathyrus oleraceus (garden pea) is the source of this 1780-nucleotide long non-coding RNA. RefSeq lists it as uncharacterized. The record is from RefSeq and is a predicted model, not a curated record. Lineage: Eukaryota; Viridiplantae; Streptophyta; Magnoliopsida; Fabales; Fabaceae. The transcript is spliced from 2 exons.
UAAAUCUUCACGUGAUUCUUGGAAGAAGAAGAAAAAUGCAUUAAAUAAUAAUGAAAAUAGAAUAAAUGUAAUCAAUGAAAAUUAAAAUCAGUAAACCUAUCACCAUUCACUUCCUUUCUUCUUUCACGCUCAAUCAUCCUUCUCUCUCUCACUCUCGAUCGCUCUAUCUCACACCUCUCUCGCUCAUGUCAUCUCUCAAUCUCAACCUCAUUCACAAACUUUCACUCUACAUGCCAAAAAAACAAAAUGCUUUAAAGAGAUUCAAGCAGUAAAACUCACCUUCGGCGGUGGUCCGGCGGUAAUGACGAUGCUUGGAUCUUCCUCCCGUCGCCGCUCAACUCUUCUAGCUCUAGGGUUUUCGCUCUCUGAAAACUUUAGGGUUUUUUUUGUGGCUGAUUGAAGUUAGGUUUUUGGUCGCCGCUCCUAAAAAACUCUCUUUUUUUCUACAGCAUCCGCCUCUUUUUAUACCCAAUCAGUUAGGGUUUUCGAGCUAGCUAUGGAGAUUAAAAAGGGAAACCUCUUGGAAGUGCUUUUAGGUGCUCAGCUUUGCCUGUCUCGCUUGAUACUUAAAUCUGGAAACGUAAAAAUUGGUGAAAAGAAACACUUCGGUUAUUUGCAAAGCUCAACUAUUGCUACUACCAUGAACUUCUAGGUGUGAAGAAGUGCUAGCUAUCAAGGAUGAAAAUCAGUUCCGUUAUAAGCUAAUGUUAAUGUUAAGUCUCAUUACAUUGUCUUACUUAACUGUUAGUGCAGAAUUUCUUAUUAAUUGGAAAUUUUGUUCAACUAUGAGGAAUUAUUCUUACUGUUAUGCUUAUUAAUCUCUGCAGGUUAGUAGGUGUUGCCGGUUGAAUGUGUUGUUGCUAAUGUGUUUGCUGUUGGCUUCGAGAAACGGCGGCUGCGUUUGAAAUUAUGUCCCUUAAAUACAGGUUUUGUGGGUUAGUUAGAGGUGUUAGAAAUAUGGUGGAGAAUUCCAUUAAAAAAAGAGGGGUUCUGUUUUUUGAACUGAGCUUCUAAAAGAUUCUAAUGUUAUAUUAACAGUUAGUAAAUAAAUUGUUGUUAUUCGUGAUUGUUAUUAUCAUACUGAAAGAGAUUAAUCUUCUAUUAUCUUGCUGACUUUCCUGAUCGCAUUGUGAUGUUUACAAGGAAUUUGCUGUGAAACUGAUAUGAACCAUUGCCACCAGGUUGUUCUGUUACGAACCUUGUAGAGAAUGUUGGCUAUUGUGCCUGAAAUUGGGCUUGAAAUUGUUCAGGUUUUGGAUACUGAUUGGGUAAUAGGAUUGUGUAUAGAUGGAAUUAGAAAUGAUUGUAAUUUUGAACAUAUUUGUUUCAAGAAUGAAUAGGAAGUUUGAAGGUUAUUGGUUAGUUUGGGAAUUUCGGCUUGGAUGCGGCUACGAAGCGCAUUGGAUGGCGGGGCUGUUUUGGAAUUCUGCAAAGCUUCUUCAUGUUCCACGACUUCAAUAGAUGAAUUGAUCGAGCGACAAGCAGCAGCAGCGGAUUUAACUUUUAGCUGACCAAUAUAUGCUUCCGUGUGUAUAAUCUGUCUAUGCAUAUUAUUCAACUCAAACUUGUCAUGAUCAAGAACAUUGUAUCUAUGAAUCAUGUGAGGUUCUAAUCCAUUUGUAGCAUACCGUAAAGUUUUAAAAUGCAGGAGAUUAACUUUAGUGCCUCAAAUUUGUAGUUUCCGUUUGUUUAUGGUUGUUUGUAAUUAGGUGCCUAGUAUAAUCCUUAAAUUUCUGUAGCUGUAUAGCUUUAUAAUAUGAAGCGUGAUUAUUCUAUUCCA